Molecule: unclassified non-coding RNA, 332 nt
Filed under: soil metagenome
Description: partial contains 5.8S ribosomal RNA, internal transcribed spacer 2, and large subunit ribosomal RNA
Rfam family: 5.8S ribosomal RNA (bases 1-120)
Source: RNAcentral
GAUGAAGAACGUAGCAAAAUGCGAUAAGUAAUGUGAAUUGCAGAAUUCAGUGAAUCAUCGAAUCUUUGAACGCACAUUGCGCCCGCCAGUAUUCUGGCGGGCAUGCCUGUUCGAGCGUCAUUUCAACCCUCAAGCACAGCUUGGUGUUGGGACUCGCGUUAAUUCGCGUUCCCCAAAUUGAUUGGCGGUCACGUCGAGCUUCCCUAGCGUAGUAGUAAAACCCUCGUUACUGGUAAUCGUCGCGGCCACGCCGUUAAACCCCAACUUCUGAAUGUUGACCUCGGAUCAGGUAGGAAUACCCGCUGAACUUAAGCAUAUCAAUAAGCGGAGGA